AUUGAACGCUGGCGGCAUGCUUUACACAUGCAAGUCGAACGGUAACAGGUUAAGCUGACGAGUGGCGAACGGGUGAGUAAUGCAUCGGAACGUGCCCGGUCGUGGGGGAUAACGCAGCGAAAGCUGCGCUAAUACCGCAUACGAUCUGAGGAUGAAAGCGGGGGACCGUACGGCCUCGCGCGAUCGGAGCGGCCGAUGUCAGAUUAGGUAGUUGGUGGGGUAAAGGCUCACCAAGCCAACGAUCUGUAGCCGGUCUGAGAGGACGACCAGACAGACUGGGAGUGAGACACGGCCCAGGUUCCUACGGGGGACAGCAGUGGGGAAUUUUGGACAAUGGGCGAAAGCCUGAUCCAGCAAUGCCGCGUGCAGGAAGAAGGCCUUCGGGUUGUAAACUGCUUUUGUACGGAGCGAAAAGGUCUCCUCUAAUACAGGGGGCUCAUGACGGUACCGUAAGAAUAAGCACCGGCUAACUACGUGCCAGCAGCCGCCGUAA
RNAcentral lists this ribosomal RNA (493 nucleotides) under uncultured bacterium. RNAcentral's name for it is "partial 16S ribosomal RNA". It matches the Rfam family "Bacterial small subunit ribosomal RNA", at positions 29 to 523 of the family's 1533-position model. The record is from RNAcentral.